Molecule: unclassified non-coding RNA, 380 nt
Filed under: soil metagenome
Description: partial contains 5.8S ribosomal RNA, internal transcribed spacer 2, and large subunit ribosomal RNA
Rfam family: 5.8S ribosomal RNA (bases 1-120)
Source: RNAcentral
GAUGAAGAACGUAGUGAAAUGCGAUAAGUAAUGUGAAUUGCAGAAUUCAGUGAAUCAUCGAAUCUUUGAACGCACCUUGCACCCUUUGGCAUUCUGAAGGGUAUGCUCGUUUGAGUGUCAUUGUACUCUCACACUCCCGAUCUUUGCAUUGGGAGCAGUGGACUUGGGUUUGCUGCUUCACCGUCGCUUACCUCAAAUAGGUUAGUGCAACUCUUGGUUGGACAUAGUACGGCGUGAUAAGUGUUUUUCGCCGGUGCCUCGCAAAGAGGGUGGCCGAUCGGGAUGUUGUGCUCCAAACCGUCUUCGGACAAUCUCUGACGACUUGACCUCAAAUCGAGUAAGACUACCCGCUGAACUUAAGCAUAUCAAUAAGCGGAGGA